GUAAAAUGAGGAUAUAAUCUACAAAUAGGGUAAUUAAUAUUAAAUAAACAUUAUAUAUAUAGUAGGCACUCAAUAAGUUUGUUAAAUCAUAUUACUUGAACAGAAAUGUCAACUUCAAAAAGUCAAAACUGACUGUUUUAAACCCGCCUGAGGCCUAGAAGGUUGGCCUCAAUUCUCAGUGUUUCAGAAUGGGCUACUUACAACAGAACCUUGAAUUAUAUAUGAGAGCUCAUCAACUGAUUACUGACUUCUGAUUCUUCCUGAGCUAGAAACUACUCACAUGUCCUCUGUAAAUCAUGACCUGAGAGUUUGCCUGGAGCAGUCCCAAUUGGACUUUUUCCUCUUCUUACCUCUUUCUCUUCUUGCCCUCCCCCUCCGCCAGGCAUCAUCUCCCUUAACCAGUCUAAUCCACAAUGAAAAUAUAGUUACUUUCAGCUUCUCAAUUUUUUCGUGGUUUCUCCAUGAUGAUACCACCCAUUUCCACUCCUUUGCAGGGUGGGUGCUCCUGCUGUUAUAUUGAAGUAACUCAACAGUAAAAUGAGACCAAUGACUAACAUCUUGGGAGUGAUUAUUUAUUCAGUGAGAUCAAAUGGUAAGAAUUUGCUAUCUCAGAAAAACAGGAAUUAGGCAGGCAAGUUUUCCCUUUUACUUUAAAAAAGUUUAUGUAAACUUUACAUAUAUAUGUUAAGUUAUGAAGCAUACAAAUAAAUGAGGGAACCCACAA
RNAcentral lists this non-coding RNA (724 nucleotides) under Pongo abelii (Sumatran orangutan). The record is from RNAcentral. Lineage: Eukaryota; Metazoa; Chordata; Mammalia; Primates; Hominidae.